UAACACCGGCAGCCCAAGUGGUAGCCACGAUUAUUGGGUCUAAAGCGUCCGUAGCCGGCCAGGUAAGUUCUUUGGGAAAUUUAACCGCUUAACGGUUAAGCUUUCAGGGAAUGCUGCUUGGCUUGGGACCGGGAGAGGUCAGAGGUACUUCAAGGGUAGGGGUGAAAUCCGUUAAUCCUUGAGGGACCACCAGUAGCGAAGGCGUCUGACCAGACCGGGUCCGACGGUGAGGGACGAAGGCUAGGGCCGCGAACCGGAUUAGAUACCCGGGUAGUCCUAGCUGUGAACGAUGCGGGCCAGGUGUUGGCAUUACUGCGAGUGAUGUCAGUGCCGAAGGGAAGCCGUUAAGCCCGCCAUCUGGGGAGUACGGUCGCAAGGCUG
Molecule: ribosomal RNA, 381 nt
Filed under: uncultured archaeon
Lineage: Archaea
Description: bacterial SSU rRNA
Rfam family: Archaeal small subunit ribosomal RNA
Source: RNAcentral